Oncorhynchus tshawytscha (Chinook salmon) is the source of this 391-nucleotide long non-coding RNA. Lineage: Eukaryota; Metazoa; Chordata; Actinopteri; Salmoniformes; Salmonidae. The record is from Ensembl.
UACCGACAGGGCAGAGAGGGUAUGAUUGAUACAGUCAGGGCGAGAGGGAGGUAUUGAUACCGACAGGGCAGAGAGGGAGGUAUUGAUACUGAUAGGGCAGAGAGGGAGGUAUUGAUACCGACAGGGCAGAGAGGGAGGUAUUGAUACUGAUAGGGCAGAGAGGGAGUGCUAAAAGAAAUAAUAACUUUCAAGGAAGAAGCAGGAGGCUGCAAUACAACUGUUUAAAGAGUCUGUCCAAGUAAAGGAGAGAAAAUGUAAAGGGGGAGAGGUGGUUUCUCUGGUUCUAUGAAGGGAGUGAACUUGAAAAAGGAAUGGAAUUUGGGGCGGUAGAGGACAGACUAGCAUAGCAUUCCUACUCCCUUGUGGGCUGAGGUAAGCUACAGUAUACAGG